AUGGACAAUAGGAUAGUUCCAUGGGACGAACUCACCAGUAGUGACACCAUAAUGAAUGAGUUGGCUCACCAACUACGUAGGUCUGGGUGGCCUGAAAGGACCUAUGAGGAGGUACGUCAAGAACUUCUUAGGUUGCAUGAAAGAUGGAAGAAGGUGGUGGAGCCGAAGAGUGAAACUUUCAGAAGGACUGCAGAAAAGCAUCCAUUUUUAUGGACUGAGGAGAGCGAGGACGACGGUGAUAUCUUCAUGUCGCCGCUUCCGGGUUCUGCAUCGUCGAAGGGCAAGAGUUCUGCAUCGUCCAAAGGAAAGAGUUAUGCAUCCGCGAAGGGCAAGAGUUCUGUAUCGACCAAGGGCAAGAGUUCUGCAUCGACGAAAGGCAAGAAGAGCGCAUCGUCGAAGGGCAAGAGGGCUGCAUCAACGGAGGAUGACGAUGAUGACUUCAUGUAG
Molecule: ribosomal RNA, 447 nt
Filed under: Triticum aestivum (bread wheat)
Lineage: Eukaryota; Viridiplantae; Streptophyta; Magnoliopsida; Poales; Poaceae
Description: partial small subunit ribosomal RNA
Source: RNAcentral